AGGUUGGAAGUUCUGGUAAUUUUCAGAAAAAAGAAGCAGUCACUCUUCCUACUUAGAAUACCAUUCGAAAACUAUAAAAGUGCAGGAAGAAAUACAAAAAUGACCUAAUUAGUUAUAAAAUCUCCCUCCACCUCACCCAAAAUCUCACUACUCACUCAUCCCUCAAUCUCACCUGAAUCACAAUAUCAAUCCGUAGUCUUACCACCCUCCAAUAAUCAACCUCUCUAACUCACCCAAAAUUUCACCCAAAUCCCACUCACACUCAUCACUCAACUCAUCUGUGAAAUACAGUCUCGAACCCUCACAUCCAUUACCAAAUUAUCUCACCCCAAAUUCCAUGUAUAAGCAUUCGCCAACAUCUAGACCCUAAUCAUCCCUCCAAGUCGAGGAACAUCCAUCAUAGAAGUAUACCUCGUAAGGGAAAAACCAAGACAUUAGCGGUCAUCCAAACAAUAAGACAUUUCGAAAGGGUGAAAGGUACAUAAACAUAUAAACACCUAAAGCACCUACUUUCAUAACAUGAUCAUAACAUAUCACCAUCAUUUAACUUGCUAUAACUGAAGUAAAAGAAAUUUUGGACUAGGUUAGAUUAGUGGUGAUUGCGGACACUACUAACCGUUAACCUUGACCAUUUUGAUAUUGGUAUUGACAUAUAUCCCUUGCUUCAUGAAUAACGAUAAAAUAUCAUUAGUAACUAGUUGAAUCGAUGGUUAAGAGAUUAAGAAAUCAGUAGGGAGGUCCUUUAAAAGACAGCUUUUGAUUUGAUAUAGCUAGUUACAACCAUUUAAAAUUGACAAAACAAGAUUAGAGGACCCUAGACCGAAUAAGCACAAAACAGAC
This 840-nucleotide long non-coding RNA is filed under the name Linum usitatissimum (flax). Its description in RNAcentral is "long non-coding RNA (LUSI_LNC005715)". Lineage: Eukaryota; Viridiplantae; Streptophyta; Magnoliopsida; Malpighiales; Linaceae. The record is from RNAcentral.